This 149-nucleotide non-coding RNA is filed under the name Gorilla gorilla gorilla (western lowland gorilla). Lineage: Eukaryota; Metazoa; Chordata; Mammalia; Primates; Hominidae. The record is from Rfam by way of RNAcentral.
GCUGGGGGUGGGUGGUGUGCACCUGUAAUCCCAGCUACUCGGGAGGCUUAGGCAGGAGAAUCGCUUGAACCCAGGAGGUGUAGGUUGCAGUGAGCCAAGAUCGUGCCACUGCACUCUAACCUGGGUGACAGAGCAAGACCCUGUCUCAA